CCGUUAAACCCCCCUAAUUUUUUUCUAAGCAAGGUUGACCUCGGAUCAGGUAGGAAUACCCGCUGAACUUAAGCAUAUCAAUAAGCGGAGGAAAAGAAACCAACAGGGAUUGCCCUAGUAACGGCGAGUGAAGCGGCAACAGCUCAAAUUUGAAAUCUGCCUUCGGGCCGAGUUGUAAUUUGCAGAGGAUGCUUUUGGCGCGGUGCUUUCUGAGUCCCCUGGAACGGGGCGCCAGAGAGGGUGAGAGCCCCGUAUAGUUGGACACCUAGCCUGUGUAAAGCUCCUUCGACGAGUCGAGUAGUUUGGGAAUGCUGCUCUAAAUGGGAGGUAAAUUCCUUCUAAAGCUAAAUAUCUGCCAGAGACCGAUAGCGCACAAGUAGAGUGAUCGAAAGAUGAAAAGCACUUUGAAAAGAGAGUCAAAUAGCACGUGAAAUUGUUGAAAGGGAAGCGCUUGUGACCAGACUUGCGCCGGGUCGAUCAUCCGCCGUUCUCGGUGGUGCACUCGGCUCGGCUCAGGCCAGCAUCGGUUUUCAUAGGGGGAUAAAAGCCUCGGGAAUGUGACUCCUCCGGGAGUGUUAUAGCCCGGGGCAUAAUACCCUUACGGGGAC
Molecule: ribosomal RNA, 608 nt
Filed under: uncultured Sordariales
Lineage: Eukaryota; Fungi; Ascomycota; Sordariomycetes; Sordariales
Description: eukaryotic LSU rRNA
Rfam family: Eukaryotic large subunit ribosomal RNA
Source: RNAcentral